UUUUCCCUGCAAAGGUUAGGCCCUCUAAGAUACCUGCAUUAUGGAAAUAUUAGGGCUUGCCUUUCACAGAGCUUAAACUCUAAACAGAAAGUAUUCUAUCUCCUCUUAGCCAUUAACAGAACAUAUGACUAAAGAAUUUAGAAUUUGUCUCAUCUUUGGACUUGACAUAAUAAAAGAGCUCUGAAGCAAAAUAAUUUAUCUAGAAAUCCACUUUGUUGAACUUCUGAUACAGAAGUAAAAGGAUGUUUUAUUUACCCCAAAAUAAAUGGAGGAAGAAUUUUCUCUCAUUCUUUAAUAUCGAAGCAGAGGAAGAAAAAAGAAAACCUUCCUUUCUGUUUAUGUCAGUGAAGAAUUAGAACUCUAAACUCAGGGAAGGAAGAUGUUCAGUCCCAUAAUAAAAAUCUUUCCCCUACUUUUUUAGCUUUUAGCAGCAUAAAUAAUCUGACAUAUUAUGAUUUAAAAUAUUUUAAAUGUAAUAUGCUGUAUUUACCCAAGUCUUCAUAGUGAUAGAGUAAGAAGAACCUUCAGAAGUGCAAAUCAUCAAGAAAAUCUAUUUUUCACAAGGUGUAUUGACAGUGGAUAAUCUUUUGAAUAAACAAAAGAACUCUAGUAUUAGCCAUACUAAAAGAAGCAACGCUAGAGAAGCUCUUACAGAAAGCUAAGGAAUGGUGUUUUCUCCAUUUCUGUGUAAAAGACUAGAGUACAAGUUGUUCACAUAAAGUUUAAUCAACAUUAAAAUCCUGAUGAUAUUCUGGUAGUGGGCAUUCACAUGUGAAACAAAAUGAAGUGAUGGAAAGGAGAUGAUAAAGGCUUAGGAAAAAUGACAGAAAGUGAAAGAAGGGUUCUUGUUGCCUUUUUUUUUAUCCAUAUUUUUAAUUUCUUACUGAAUUAAAAAAGUAAUACUGAGAAGUGGUGCAGAGAGUUCCUUGUCUGUAUGAAAUACAUGUGGGGGGGGUUAACUGUUUGGUUUUUUCUUUGCAUUUACUUUUCCAGUUGUAUGAAAAUUAAAUUAGCUUCUCUCUCUUCAAGUCCCCAGUGAUGCUGCUGCAAUUCCUUUAAUAGUUUUGCAGUAGCUCAGUGAUUAGGAUUUAGUGUAUUGUUCAGUUGGUCCAUAUGCAGCCAUAGAAUUCAGCUUCCCACAGCCUAAUAGUCUCUGUAGAAGUAGCAAGAAUAGAAAGCUGUAUUGUUUUUAAUUCGCGUUACCAGAGUGCCUGUGAGGCUUAAUCAGAGCAGCAUCCCAGUGGCUAGACAUUGUACAAACACAGAACAAAACCAGGCUUCCCGCAGAGCCUUUAUAAUCCAAGUUAAGACAAAAGACCAAAAAACAACAUGGAUGGAAAAAUAAAAUUAGUGUCAAUAUUUGUCUAGCUGAUUAGCAGUGGUUUCAGCACACCAUCAGUUUAAAUAUUGUCAUUUUCUUCUUUUGUGUGUGUUAUGAGCAGAGGAAGCUGGAGAGUGACAUUUGGAGGCUGGACAGUGAGGGAGCUGUAGGAAUCCAUAUUCCUGACCAGCCCUGUGUGCCAUCUAAACUCUAUUCCUGUCUGACCUCAUUCAGGAUGAGGUUCAAGCUUUAAGCAAGAUGCAGGUGGCUAUUGUUUUAAUAUCAGUCACUUCACUUCUCUCAAGUCCUACUUAUGCCUCCUGCCAGUGAUCUUGCCACUCUAUUGGCCUCUUCUCCAAAACAUGAGAGAAUGGACAGAUGUUUGUUUGAAAAUGGCAUAUAGAAACAAUCAAACCUAGUGCCGUAGACUCCACGGGAAUAGGGAUCAAGAGGUCCUACAUGACCUCUAAAGUAAAGACAAGGUAUGUACAUCUGAUGGAACAGUGAAAGGGCAUUAAUGAAGAAACUAAAGAAAUGGCAUAGUCAAACUAAUGUUUAAAUAUUUAGCUUGCAGUAGUACUUUGAAUAAGAAAAGUGGAAUUGCUUUGGCAAAGUCUGAGAAGACACUGUUGCAGUCAAGUGGCUAUACUGACAGCUUACAUGAGAUUCUUACAUGAAUGGGUGAAGAUGUCUGUAUCCUAGAGGUAGUAACAAGAAAGUUAUUGAAAUUUAGAGGACAGGACUCAGAAAUCAGAGUUUAGUAAGAUAAUGACCCUGGUUUUGCCACCCUGAAUGGUGUGUUAUGAAGGUGAGAAAUAAGGAAGGAUGUUUUAAAAGUAUGCAUUAAGUUUAAAAUAGGCUAGAUCUCCAAAAGGUGAUGUCAAUAGGCAUAAUUACUUCUUUUUGCUUGGAAAACUAGAGUCUAGUCUGGACUGGAAAAUCAACUUUGCAGGUUUUUCACAUAUAGAAGCUAGCUAAAAUAGUAUUUGUGGAAUAAAUCACCAACAGACAUAUUGCAGAGGGAAGAAA
Long non-coding RNA from Strigops habroptila (Kakapo), 2350 nucleotides. The record is from Ensembl. NCBI's taxonomy places the organism in Eukaryota, Metazoa, Chordata, Aves, Psittaciformes, Psittacidae.